AGAGUUUGAUCCUGGCUCAGAUUGAACGCUGGCGGCAUGCUUUACACAUGCAAGUCGAACGGCAGCGCGGGGCAACCUGGCGGCGAGUGGCGAACGGGUGAGUAAUAUAUCGGAACGUACCCAAGAGUGGGGGAUAACGUAGCGAAAGUUACGCUAAUACCGCAUACGAUCUAUGGAUGAAAGUGGGGGAUCGCAAGACCUCAUGCUCCUGGAGCGGCCGAUAUCUGAUUAGCUAGUUGGUGAGGUAAUGGCUCACCAAGGCGACGAUCAGUAGCUGGUCUGAGAGGACGACCAGCCACACUGGAACUGAGACACGGUCCAGACUCCUACGGGAGGCAGCAGUGGGGAAUUUUGGGCAAUGGGCGCAAGCCUGAUCCAGCAAUGCCGCGUGAGUGAAGAAGGCCUUCGGGUUGUAAAGCUCUUUUGUCAGGGAAGAAACGGCUGGGGCUAAUAUCCUCGGCUAAUGACGGUACCUGAAGAAUAAGCACCGGCUAACUACGUGCCAGCAGCCGCGGUAAUACGUAGGGUGCAAGCGUUAAUCGGAAUUACUGGGCGUAAAGCGUGCGCAGGCGGUUUUGUAAGUCUGACGUGAAAGCCCCGGGCUCAACCUGGGAAUUGCGUUGGAGACUGCAAGGCUUGAAUCUGGCAGAGGGGGGUAGAAUCCCACGUGUAGCAGUGAAAUGCGUAGAGAUGUGGAGGAACACCGAUGGCGAAGGCAGCCCCCUGGGUCAAGAUUGACGCUCAUGCACGAAAGCGUGGGGAGCAAACAGGAUUAGAUACCCUGGUAGUCCACGCCCUAAACGAUGUCUACUAGUUGUCGGGUCUUAAUUGACUUGGUAACGCAGCUAACGCGUGAAGUAGACCGCCUGGGGAGUACGGUCGCAAGAUUAAAACUCAAAGGAAUUGACGGGGACCCGCACAAGCGGUGGAUGAUGUGGAUUAAUUCGAUGCAACGCGAAAAACCUUACCUACCCUUGACAUGUCAGGAACCUCCGAGAGAUUGGAGGGUGCCCGAAAGGA
Molecule: ribosomal RNA, 1020 nt
Filed under: uncultured bacterium
Lineage: Bacteria
Description: bacterial SSU rRNA
Rfam family: Bacterial small subunit ribosomal RNA
Source: RNAcentral